Molecule: transfer RNA, 69 nt
Filed under: Marmota marmota marmota (Alpine marmot)
Lineage: Eukaryota; Metazoa; Chordata; Mammalia; Rodentia; Sciuridae
Also listed under: 3 other names
Rfam family: tRNA
About the family: Transfer RNA (tRNA) molecules are approximately 80 nucleotides in length. Their secondary structure includes four short double-helical elements and three loops (D, anti-codon, and T loops).
Source: Rfam by way of RNAcentral
GGGGUUGUGGCUUAGUGGUGGAGUGCUUGCCUCACAUGUAUGAGGCACUGGGUUCGAUCCUCAGCACCA